This 253-nucleotide ribosomal RNA is filed under the name uncultured bacterium. RNAcentral's name for it is "partial 16S ribosomal RNA". It matches the Rfam family "Bacterial small subunit ribosomal RNA", at positions 524 to 776 of the family's 1533-position model. The record is from RNAcentral.
UACGGGGGGAGCAAGCGUUGUUCGGAUUCACUGGGCGUAAAGGGCACGUAGGCGGCUUGGCAAAUCGGUCGUGGAAUCCCGACGCUUACCGUCGGAACGGCGGCCGAAAAUACCGAGCUCGAGGGCGUGAGGGGUCACUGGAACUCCUGGUGAAGCGGUGAAAUGCGUAGAUAUCUGGAAGAACACCAAUGGCGAAGGCAAUGUUCUGGCUCGUUUCUGACGCUCAGGUGCGAAAGCCAGGGGAGCAAACGGG